UACAGAGGGUGCGAGCGUUAAUCGGAAUUACUGGGCGUAAAGCGUGCGUAGACGGUUAUUUAAGUCGGGUGUGAAAGCCCCGGGCUCAACCUGGGAAUUGCAUUCGAGACUGAAUAGCUAGGGUACGGUAGAGGGAAGCGGAAUUCCCGGUGUAGCGGUGAAAUGCGUAGAGAUCGGGAGGAAGGCCGGUGGCGAAGGCGGCGCUCUGGAACGUUUCUGACGCUGAGGCUCGAAAGCGUGGGGAGCAAACAGG
This 253-nucleotide ribosomal RNA is filed under the name uncultured bacterium. RNAcentral's name for it is "partial 16S ribosomal RNA". It matches the Rfam family "Bacterial small subunit ribosomal RNA", at positions 524 to 776 of the family's 1533-position model. The record is from RNAcentral.